Molecule: long non-coding RNA, 404 nt
Organism: Drosophila innubila
Lineage: Eukaryota; Metazoa; Arthropoda; Insecta; Diptera; Drosophilidae
Exons: 2
Source: RefSeq, a predicted model, not a curated record
UUGGAGCCAUAGUAAAUUUAGCGACUCCCGGGACUUGACUGUUUCUGAACUGCAAGCAGAUUGACAGUCUGUGAAGAGCGGUUGACCAGAACAGUCUGCCGGACACAAUCGCGUCAACGACAGACGACAGAAUCAGCUCGUGAUCGCCAGACCUUUUUUCCAGUCUGAUUUCGAUGCUGCUCUGAAACUUAAAACCAUUUCAUUAUUUUGCUCAAAGCUGAAGCUUUAGCUGCAGUCACUUGAGAUGGCAAGCAAAGACCAUUGCCGUGUCGGAGGUUCACACAAAACUUGUGAACCUAUUGACCGUUUUCUGUGUGUUGUGAGUAGCUAAAUUUAAAAGAUAAUCUACAUCUUAUGUUUUUCUUUCAAUAAUACAAUGGUGCUCGUCGGCGCCGGAAACUACA